Molecule: long non-coding RNA, 436 nt
Filed under: Triticum aestivum (bread wheat)
Lineage: Eukaryota; Viridiplantae; Streptophyta; Magnoliopsida; Poales; Poaceae
Description: long non-coding RNA (TAES_LNC005257)
Source: RNAcentral
UUGUGCAUCUACGCCAGAAGACAGAGUGCUAUUUUUUAUUCCAUGCUCCAAAUAUUUCAUGUCCGAUUCAUAGACAUCCUUGAAUUGCUUAACGAUGAUGGCAUGUUUGGUGUUCAUAUUUUUGUCAGCCAAAUAAUAAUAGGUGCACUUGAUUGUUUGAGGAAAUGCCAACUGAAAGCUAAAUUUAGUUAGAAUUAGAUUUUUGCACGUGUGUUCUUGAUGCUUCAUGUACGACCAGUUCUCUCGAAUAAUGAGUUACUCCCUCAAUUUUACAAUAGAGAUAAUUUGUCAAAAUUGUGUUUUUGUGAACAUGCAUAGGGCCUCUCAGUCUUUAACCCUGACUAUAAAAAUCCAUUGAUGGAAGCUGGGGAGGGCCGAGAUGAACAUUCGGCUCCCUGGGUCUAAGCCAUCGAGAUGGUAGAGACGACAUUUCCAU